AGGACGAACGCUGGCGGCGUGCUUAACACAUGCAAGUCAAGGGGGCCCAGCAAUGGGCAACCGGCGAACGGGUGCGUAACACGUGAGCAACCUACCGAAAUGUGGGGGAUAGCCGGCCUAACGGCCGAGUAAUACCGCAUACGCUCUCGAUGAGGCAUUUCAUUGAGAGGAAACCUACGGGACAUUUCGGAGGGCUCGCGGCCUAUCAGCUAGUUGGCGAGGUAACGCUCACCAAGGCAACGACGGGUA
This 249-nucleotide ribosomal RNA is filed under the name uncultured soil bacterium. RNAcentral describes it as "partial 16S ribosomal RNA". It matches the Rfam family "Bacterial small subunit ribosomal RNA", at positions 26 to 285 of the family's 1533-position model. The record is from RNAcentral.